UUUUUUUUNAUUUCUGGCAGGAAGUUGUUGCUGGCUCCCCCUUAGAAAAGGGAGUAUGUGCACGCCUCUUGUUAGUUUCUUCCUUUCUCUCACCUGUGCACUGCCUGUAGACUUUUAAGUGUCUAUGAUAUUUUUUUAUUACACACACACACAUACACUUUUGAAUGUAUUGUAUUGGGUCAAGGUCAUUUUGUACCUUAUAAUAUUGCACAACUUUCAACAACGGAUCUCUUGGCUCUCGCAUCGAUGAAGAACGCAGCGAAAUGCGAUAAGUAAUGUGAAUUGCAGAAUUCAGUGAAUCAUCGAAUCUUUGAACGCAUCUUGCGCUCCUUGGUAUUCCGAGGAGCAUGCCUGUUUGAGUGUCAUUAAUCUAUCAAAAUACUUCAUAUUAGUGUUUUGGACAUUGGGAAUUAUUGCUGGCCUUGGUAUGUCAGCUUUCCUUAAAAAUAUCGAGUUUUCAAAGCCCUUCUUUCUCUGCUCAUUGGUGUGAUAAAUAUUAUCUAUGCCAAGGAAGCAAAGGCUUCAGCCAUGUUGACAAAUUGA
This 543-nucleotide ribosomal RNA is filed under the name Amanita tuza. Its description in RNAcentral is "eukaryotic LSU rRNA". The stretch from base 212 to 365 matches the Rfam family "5.8S ribosomal RNA". Lineage: Eukaryota; Fungi; Basidiomycota; Agaricomycetes; Agaricales; Amanitaceae. The record is from RNAcentral.